Molecule: ribosomal RNA, 817 nt
Filed under: Staphylococcus sp.
Lineage: Bacteria; Bacillati; Bacillota; Bacilli; Caryophanales; Staphylococcaceae
Description: bacterial SSU rRNA
Rfam family: Bacterial small subunit ribosomal RNA
Source: RNAcentral
GAGCUUGCUCCUUUGAAGUUAGCGGCGGACGGGUGAGUAACACGUGGGUAACCUACCUAUAAGACUGGGAUAACUUCGGGAAACCGGAGCUAAUACCGGAUAACAUUUAGAACCGCAGGGUUCUAAAGUGAAAGAUGGUUUUGCUAUCACUUAUAGAUGGACCCGCGCCGUAUUAGCUAGUUGGUAAGGUAACGGCUUACCAAGGCGACGAUACGUAGCCGACCUGAGAGGGUGAUCGGCCACACUGGAACUGAGACACGGUCCAGACUCCUACGGGAGGCAGCAGUAGGGAAUCUUCCGCAAUGGGCGAAAGCCUGACGGAGCAACGCCGCGUGAGUGAUGAAGGGUUUCGGCUCGUAAAACUCUGUUAUUAGGGAAGAACAAAUGUGUAAGUAACUGUGCACAUCUUGACGGUACCUAAUCAGAAAGCCACGGCUAACUACGUGCCAGCAGCCGCGGUAAUACGUAGGUGGCAAGCGUUAUCCGGAAUUAUUGGGCGUAAAGCGCGCGUAGGCGGUUUCUUAAGUCUGAUGUGAAAGCCCACGGCUCAACCGUGGAGGGUCAUUGGAAACUGGGAAACUUGAGUGCAGAAGAGGAAAGUGGAAUUCCAUGUGUAGCGGUGAAAUGCGCAGAGAUAUGGAGGAACACCAGUGGCGAAGGCGACUUUCUGGUCUGUAACUGACGCUGAUGUGCGAAAGCGUGGGGAUCAAACAGGAUUAGAUACCCUGGUAGUCCACGCCGUAAACGAUGAGUGCUAAGUGUUAGGGGGUUUCCGCCCCUUAGUGCUGCAGCUAACGCAUUAAGCACUCCGCCUGGG